UUUUUUAUAAAAAUAAUUUAUUUAUUUAAUGUUUUAGUAUUUAGUAAAAAUUAAUUUUUAGAUUUAUAGUUUAAUAGUAUUGUAAAAGAAAUUAAUUAAAUUUGAAAAAGAAUAUUUUUAGUACCCUUUUGUAUCAGGGUUGAUUAAAAUUUUUAAUUUUUUUUUAAUUUCUCAAAAUUUAUAGAGUUAAUUUUAUUAUUAAUUUAUUGUGUUAUAAAUAUUUAUAAAAUAAUAUUAGUUUUGAAAUUUAAUUCGUUAUAUUAUAUUUAGUUAUUUAAGAUUUAAAUUUAAUUUAUAAUUUUAAAAGUUAUAUUGAUUUUAUAUAUAAAUAUUUUAAAUUUGAAUUAUUUUAGGGAUAAGCUUGAAAUUUUUAUAUAAUAAUUUAUUUAUUUUAAUAAUUUAUAGGAAUAGAAAUUUUUAUUUUAAGUUUGUAAAAAUUUAUUAUUUAUUUAUUUUUAAUUUAUUAUAAAUUUAUUUAUUUUUUUUAUUAAAUUUUAUUAAUUAAUAUUUAAUUUUUAGUAAUAAUGAUUAAAUUAGUAUAAUUUAAAUUUAUAAAUUAUGAAUUCGGCAAAAAUUAUUUUCAUCUGUUUAACAAAAACAUUGUAUUAAGUUUUAUUUAAUAUAGGAUCUGCUCAAUGAUUUAUUAAAUAGCUGCAGUAUUUUGACUGUGCAAAGGUAGCAUAAUAAUUAGUCUUUUAAUUGAGGACUUGUAUGAAAGAUUUGAUGAGAAAUAAACUUUAUUAUUUAUAAAAUUAAAAUUUUAUUUUUAAGUAAAAAAGCUUAAAUUAUUUAAAGGGACGAUAAGACCCUAUAAAACUUUAUAAAUAUUAAUUUUAAUUUUUUUGGAUUAAUAAAUAUUUUAUUUUUAUUAUUUAUUUUAUUGGGGUGAUAAAAAAAUUUAUUAAACUUUUCUUAAAAUUUUACAUCAUUUAAUGAAUAUUUGAAUUAAAAUUUUUAAUUAAAGGAAAAAGUUACUUUAGGGAUAACAGCGUAAUUAGUUUUUUAAGUUCAAAUUUAAAAAUUAGUUUGCGACCUCGAUGUUGAAUUAAGAUUAAUCUUAGGUGCCCAAUUUUAAGUAUUAGGUCUGUUCGACC
This 1094-nucleotide ribosomal RNA is filed under the name Megoura crassicauda. RNAcentral describes it as "partial 16S large subunit ribosomal RNA". Lineage: Eukaryota; Metazoa; Arthropoda; Insecta; Hemiptera; Aphididae. The record is from RNAcentral.